AGUUUUAUAUUCAAAUAUGAUUUCAAAUUGCAAAUUUGAAGGUAGAAUAAUUUCUUAAGACUU
This 63-nucleotide transfer RNA is filed under the name Sisyra aurorae. RNAcentral describes it as "tRNA-Cys". Lineage: Eukaryota; Metazoa; Arthropoda; Insecta; Neuroptera; Sisyridae. The record is from RNAcentral.